Molecule: ribosomal RNA, 253 nt
Filed under: uncultured bacterium
Lineage: Bacteria
Description: partial 16S ribosomal RNA
Rfam family: Bacterial small subunit ribosomal RNA
Source: RNAcentral
UACGAAGGGGGCUAGCGUUGCUCGGAAUCACUGGGCGUAAAGGGUGCGUAGGCGGGUCUUUAAGUCAGAGGUGAAAUCCUGGAGCUCAACUCCAGAACUGCCUUUGAUACUGAGGAUCUUGAGUACGGGAGAGGUGAGUGGAACUGCGAGUGUAGAGGUGAAAUUCGUAGAUAUUCGCAAGAACACCAGUGGCGAAGGCGGCUCACUGGCCCGUAACUGACGCUGAGGCGCGAAAGCGUGGGGAGCGAACAGG